This 496-nucleotide ribosomal RNA is filed under the name uncultured bacterium. Its description in RNAcentral is "partial 16S ribosomal RNA". It matches the Rfam family "Bacterial small subunit ribosomal RNA", at positions 28 to 506 of the family's 1533-position model. The record is from RNAcentral.
GAUGAGCGCUGGCGGCGUGCCUAAUACAUGCAAGUCGAGCGAACAGAUAAGGAGCUUGCUCCUUUGACGUUAGCGGCGGACGGGUGAGUAACACGUGGGUAACCUACCUAUAAGACUGGAAUAACUCCGGGAAACCGGGGCUAAUGCCGGAUAACAUUUAGAACCGCAUGGUUCUAAAGUGAAAGAUGGUUUUGCUAUCACUUAUAGAUGGACCCGCGCCGUAUUAGCUAGUUGGUAAGGUAACGGCUUACCAAGGCAACGAUACGUAGCCGACCUGAGAGGGUGAUCGGCCACACUGGAACUGAGACACGGUCCAGACUCCUACGGGAGGCAGCAGUAGGGAAUCUUCCGCAAUGGGCGAAAGCCUGACGGAGCAACGCCGCGUGAGUGAUGAAGGUCUUCGGAUCGUAAAACUCUGUUAUUAGGGAAGAACAAAUGUGUAAGUAACUGUGCACGUCUUGACGGUACCUAAUCAGAAAGCCACGGCUAACUACGU